RNAcentral lists this ribosomal RNA (301 nucleotides) under uncultured bacterium. Its description in RNAcentral is "partial 16S ribosomal RNA". It matches the Rfam family "Bacterial small subunit ribosomal RNA", at positions 509 to 807 of the family's 1533-position model. The record is from RNAcentral.
CAGUCGCCACGGUAAUACGUAGGUGGCAAGCGUUGUCCGGAAUUAUUGGGCGUAAAGGGCUCGCAGGCGGUUUCUUAAGUCUGAUGUGAAAGCCCCCGGCCCAACCGGGGAGGGUCAUUGGAAACUGGGAAACUUGAGUGCAGAAGAGGAGAGUGGAAUUCCACGUGUAGCGGUGAAAUGCGUAGAGAUGUGGAGGAACACCAGUGGCGAAGGCGACUCUCUGGUCUGUAACUGACGCUGAGGAGCGAAAGCGUGGGGAGCGAACAGGAUUAGAUACCCCUGUAGUCCCUGUCUCUUAUAC